UACAGAGGUCUCAAGCGUUGUUCGGAAUCACUGGGCGUAAAGCGCACGUAGGCGGAUUGCUAAGUCAGGGGUGAAAUCCUGGAGCUCAACUCCAGAACUGCCUUUGAUACUGAAGAUCUUGAGUUCGGGAGAGGUGAGUGGAACUGCGAGUGUAGAGGUGAAAUUCGUAGAUAUUCGCAAGAACACCAGUGGCGAAGGCGGCUCACUGGCCCGAUACUGACGCUGAGGCACGAAAGCGUGGGGAGCAAACAGG
Molecule: ribosomal RNA, 253 nt
Filed under: uncultured bacterium
Lineage: Bacteria
Description: partial 16S ribosomal RNA
Rfam family: Bacterial small subunit ribosomal RNA
Source: RNAcentral